GUUGGCGUCGCUUGCGGCUCCUCUGCCUCACAACUAUUCGAAAAAAGCUGCCCAGCUUUGUGCUGAAUGCUAGCCGAGUUUCCAAGUCUCCCCAAAGCCUCGGAGACGCGUCGAUUCCAUCAAAAGAAACAAAAAAAUAUUGCAGUUAGUCGUUGUUGUUUACCCGUAUUCCGAUUACACAUAAAAAUGAAUGAAAUUAAAAAUAUAUAUUAAGAGGCACACGCUUCUGGAGAGUGUGUGAUGAUAAAGGUUCAAAGGCUCUCCAAACCCAAACCAAACCAUGGUGAUCUGGAAAAGGUCAAUUGUCCCUUUCCACGUCUGUAUCAAAAAUAAAUGUGUGCGGAGAAGGGGCCGAAUAAGACAGAGCGAUUAAGGCCUGUAAAUAUAUACACGUAGGAAGUAGUGCAUCUAUCCAGCAUGAAGUUCCCUCUAUUAUAUUCCGCACUGGGUCCAGUGCCGCUGAGCAUCGCGCCCUGGCAAAUAAAUACUGUGAAUCGGUGUCACAGCGACACCAAGUGGAACAACUGCAGCUCCAUUGGCAGAAAUCGUCCCAAUUUUCUCUUGCCUCCACAGCCUUAAACAAAUAUACACAUCAGGCCAAAAUUCAGCACAAGUUUCAGAAUUUAAAAUGGUCUUACAGGCCUUUCAUGUUGACUGAGGAUAUAGACAAGAGAACUUGCCCCUUUCUCCCCCAAAUCCUGAAGUCAGAUUUAACUCCAGUCCUCGGUGUAGAUUUACUGUGAACACUUGCAAUUAUUUUUGGAUGAGCAUACCGCUCUAAAAAAUACUGUGCCUCGAGAUCAACGAUAAAAUCAGCUGUCCGGUUGCCUAGUCGAAUGAGACCGAAUCUGUGACGAUUUUUUGUUGUUAAAAUUCUGGUCAAUGUUUUGUUGCAAAAAUCGGGAUUUCAGAUUAAAUAGUAAAUCUGAUAGUGAAUUAUUCAAAGAUAUACGCAAUCGGUCUUCAAUGUGAAUCAAAACGACCAACAAGAUCCAACCGAGAGACUGAAAUGAGCAUGAAAACUUCCGAGGCUGCGUAAAAAUCACCUGAAGAAGAUAAUUUUAGUCUUGAUAGACAUAAAAUGCUGGAGUAACUCAGCGGGACAGGCAGCAUCUCUGGAGAGAAGGAAUGGGUGACGUUUCAGGUCGAGACCCUUCUUCAGACUGGCAUUGGUAACAAGUUAACUCCAGGCUGGUGAAAAUUCACAUUCUAAAAAUCCCCGGAUAAUAUACUGAAUCUGCUGGGAACAUUAUAAAGAUCUCCUUUCCCAAGAGAAGGCCUGAAAUUUGCCUGUAGGCUCUUAACAUUAAACAUUAACCUCACAAGUUUAGAGUUCUGUUUGUGCGUUCAAGCACAGCUCCUUUGUCGCUAACCUCAAUGUAACUCACGGAGAAGUCGUGGUACAAAGCCACUCCGCUUCACCGAGGGUCACACCUUCAAGCUGAUCAGACUUUUGCUCCUUCCGCUUUGCAUAAAUUGUAGAACUUUCUUGUAGGCAAUUUACUAAACUUCAUUAAAGUUUAUAAUCGGCCCAGGUUAUGUUGUUGAAACAACGAGCGGCGCUCGCAGGUAUUUGAACUUACAAGGUGGAGCAAAUUAGGACAUGGGACCGGUAUACAAUUAACUUGCCAUCACAGUUCUGCUGCACUGCCACACAGCCCUUUUUUAUGAGGGAAAUUCGUUGAAAUGUUUGCGAUAUUGGUGUGUUCGCACAAUUAAAUUUGUAAAAGAACAAGUCACCGGAACUGGAGCAUUGAUAAACACUUUCAAAACUGUGAUAAAUAAAAUUAGUACCUUGUCUCUUAAAAUACAGACUCAUUGUAUAUUUUUUUAAAGUGUCGUUAAUGGGAUAAUGGGAUAAGCGUUGAGAUUACUGUUUAAAUAAAUACAUUUCUUUUGACUA
Molecule: long non-coding RNA, 1903 nt
Organism: Amblyraja radiata (thorny skate)
Lineage: Eukaryota; Metazoa; Chordata; Chondrichthyes; Rajiformes; Rajidae
Exons: 4
Source: RefSeq, a predicted model, not a curated record